Molecule: ribosomal RNA, 497 nt
Filed under: uncultured bacterium
Lineage: Bacteria
Description: partial 16S ribosomal RNA
Rfam family: Bacterial small subunit ribosomal RNA
Source: RNAcentral
GAUGAACGCUGGCGGCGUGCCUAAUACAUGCAAGUCGAGCGAACGGACGAGAAGCUUGCUUCUCUGAUGUUAGCGGCGGACGGGUGAGUAACACGUGGAUAACCUACCUAUAAGACUGGGAUAACUUCGGGAAACCGGAGCUAAUACCGGAUAAUAUUUUGAACCGCAUGGUUCAAAAGUAAAAGACGGUCUUGCUGUCACUUAUAGAUGGAUCCGCGCUGCAUUAGCUAGUUGGUAAGGUAACGGCUUACCAAGGCAACGAUGCAUAGCCGACCUGAGAGGGUGAUCGGCCACACUGGAACUGAGACACGGUCCAGACGCCUACGGGAGGCAGCAGUAGGGAAUCUUCCGCAAUGGGCGGAAGACUGACGGAGCAACGCCGCGGGAGGGAUGAAGGUCUUCGGAUCGUAAUACUCUGUUAUUAGGGAAGAACAUAUGUGUAAGUAACUGUGCACAUCUUGACGGUACCUAAUCAGAAAGCCACGGCUAACUACGUG